AUACUUACCUGGCAGGGGAGAUACCAUGAUCAUGUAGGUGGUUCACCCAGGGCGAGGCUCAGCCAUUGCACUGAGGCUGUCUGACCUCUGCGAAUUCCCCAAAUGCGUGAAUCUCGACUGCGUAAUUUCUGGUAGUGGGGGACUGCGUUCGCGCUCUCCCCUG
RNAcentral lists this small nuclear RNA (163 nucleotides) under Betta splendens (Siamese fighting fish). RNAcentral's name for it is "U1 spliceosomal RNA (ENSBSLG00000007308.1)". It matches the Rfam family "U1 spliceosomal RNA". Rfam says of the family: U1 is a small nuclear RNA (snRNA) component of the spliceosome (involved in pre-mRNA splicing). Its 5' end forms complementary base pairs with the 5' splice junction, thus defining the 5' donor site of an intron. The record is from Rfam by way of RNAcentral. Lineage: Eukaryota; Metazoa; Chordata; Actinopteri; Anabantiformes; Osphronemidae.